This 573-nucleotide ribosomal RNA is filed under the name uncultured bacterium. RNAcentral describes it as "bacterial SSU rRNA". It matches the Rfam family "Bacterial small subunit ribosomal RNA", at positions 47 to 653 of the family's 1533-position model. The record is from RNAcentral.
CCUAACACAUGCAAGUCGAACGAGAAAGUGGAGCAAUCCAUGAGUACAGUGGCGUACGGGUGAGUAACACGUGACUAACCUACCCUCGAGUGGGGAAUAACUUCGGGAAACCGAGGCUAAUACCGCAUAACAUCUACGGAUCAAAUGCGCAAGCAGCUUGAGGAGGGGGUCGCGGCUGAUUAGCUAGUUGGCGGGGUAACGGCCACCAAGGCAAUGAUCAGUAGCCGGCCUGAGAGGGCGCACGGCCACACUGGAACUGAAACACGGUCCAGACUCCUACGGGAGGCAGCAGUGGGGAAUUUUGCGCAAUGGGGGAAACCCUGACGCAGCAACGCCGCGUGGAGGAUGAAGCCCCUUGGGGUGUAAACUCCUUUCGAUCGGGACGAUUAUGACGGUACCGGAUGAAGAAGCACCGGCUAACUCUGUGCCAGCAGCCGCGGUAAUACAGAGGGUGCAAGCGUUGUUCGGAAUUAUUGGGCGUAAAGGGUGCGUANGCGGUGCGGUAAGUCUUCUGUGAAACCUCCGGGCUUAACUCGGAGCCUGCAGGGGAAACUGCCGUGCUGGAGUAUGGGA